This 225-nucleotide long non-coding RNA is filed under the name Sus scrofa (pig). Its description in RNAcentral is "lncRNA (ENSSSCG00070024738.1)". The record is from RNAcentral. Lineage: Eukaryota; Metazoa; Chordata; Mammalia; Artiodactyla; Suidae.
GACUAUAUAGGGAACUGCUGGAUGCGUGGGUCGGUCUUUUACGUCGGGACUCAAGGGUUUGUUAGGUUGUGCUAGGAGCGAUGGCUCUCGGUGUAACGGAGCUCUUAAGUGAAGAUGCUGAGAGGAAAAGGAAGAGUGCAAAACAUAGGGGAGAAUGUUUGCUGGAAAACGACAUGGUUAAAACCUAACGAUCUUAGCAGCAUCCUGCAGGUUGUUGAUUGCUAA